AAACUCACUCUCAACUCCACUGUCUCUCUUUUUCCCUCUCUGUCUCUCUUGGUGGCUCUUGGUCCAUAGGCCGGAGGACAGAAACAGGACAGGACACGCACCCUCGACACCACACCGCAGACAUGUCAGACUCUGAGACCGCCGCCCCCGCCGAGGCCCCCGUCCCUGCUGCUUGUGCCGCCAUCAAGGCUGACCUGGACAAAUGUGUGGCCGAGAAGGGAGCCGAGGGCUGCAAAGAUCUGAUCGAGGCCUUUGCUGCUUGCGUGAAGAGUGCAGCUGAGGGGACGUCAUGAGGAGUCGCCCUCCACCCUCCGAAUGUCCACUGCACUGAGUCCUCCAAAUUCCCAGCAUUCCCUUCUGCACAACAGCACUGGACUGAAUGAUGAGGAGGAUGAUGAAGAAGAUGAUGAUGAUCAUGGCGUGACAAACUUUGUUGAUUCUUGCUGUAUUUGGGAUAUGGUGGCAGUAACUACAGUCCUCUCCCCUCCGUUUAUAGGCUAAUCUGGUGUCCCCUCAGUCUUACCGCCAUUCCCCUUCUCCCUCUACGGCUGACAUGCAGAACAUCCACUUGUAGACAAUUCCAGAGAGCGGAGCUGUAAUGUAAAUGGUCGACAUGAAUACUUAUAAAUGGAAAUAAAAGUAUA
Long non-coding RNA from Sander lucioperca (pikeperch), 644 nucleotides. RefSeq lists it as uncharacterized. Lineage: Eukaryota; Metazoa; Chordata; Actinopteri; Perciformes; Percidae. The record is from RefSeq and is a predicted model, not a curated record. The transcript has 3 exons.